Long non-coding RNA from Etheostoma cragini (Arkansas darter), 81 nucleotides. RefSeq lists it as uncharacterized. The record is from RefSeq and is a predicted model, not a curated record. The transcript is spliced from 3 exons. NCBI's taxonomy places the organism in Eukaryota, Metazoa, Chordata, Actinopteri, Perciformes, Percidae.
UUAUAUAUAUGUCCAUGCUCAGACCGAACUUCCCGACCUCCAAUAUUGUGGGCGGGGCUAAGUUUGACUGGCAUCCAGCCU